GCCAAACCGCGAAUGGCUCAAAACACCAGACUUAGUUCCUUAGAUCUUACACGGUUACUUGGAUAACUGUGGUAAUUCUAGAGCUAAUACAUGCAAUCUGAGCUCUGACUUCGGAAAGAGUGCUUUUAUUAGAUCAAAACCAAUCGGCCGCGGCUUGCCGRGNCCGUUUCCACCGAUGAAUCUGAAUAACUUUGCAGAUCGCACGGUCUGCACCGGCGACGUAUCUUUCAAAUGUCUGCCUUAUCAACUUUCGAUGGUAGUUUCUACGACUCCCAUGGUUGUCACGGGUAACGGGGGAUUAGGGUUCGAUUCCGGAGAGGGAGCCUGAGACACGGCUACCACAUCCAAGGAAGGCAGCAGGCGCGCAAAUUACCCACUCCCGGCACGGGGAGGUAGUGACGAAAAAUAACGGUACGGGACUCUUAUGAGGCCUCGUAAUCGGAAUGAGUACACUUUAAAUAUUUUACGAGGACAAUUGGAGGGCAAGUCUGGUGCCAGCAGCCGCGGUAAUUCCAGCUCCAAUAGCAUAUUCUAGAAUUGUUGCGGUUAAAAAGCUCGUAGUUGCAUUUGUGUGCCGCACUGCCGGUCCAUGCUUUCGCGGUGCGACUGGCAGGRUUGCGGGGCAUAUCGCCGGUGAG
RNAcentral lists this ribosomal RNA (638 nucleotides) under Palaeomicra chalcophanes. RNAcentral's name for it is "SSU rRNA". It matches the Rfam family "Eukaryotic small subunit ribosomal RNA", at positions 81 to 712 of the family's 1831-position model. Lineage: Eukaryota; Metazoa; Arthropoda; Insecta; Lepidoptera; Micropterigidae. The record is from RNAcentral.